GUCGGCAGACAGGGUGCGUGCUCUCUUCUGCUCCCCCAGCUACCGGCGGCGCUGGUUCCAGCUCCCUCCCUCUCGCUUUGGCCUGCACUUGACUGACAACAAAACAACUAUGCAACACCCUUCCCUGCAGCAGCUGCAACAGUGUGUCCUGGGCGCAUUUUGUGCCUCUCCAGCUGUGUGUAGCUUGUUUUAGGAAGGAAGCAAAACAGAGAUCUCAUCAUCUAUUCCUAGCCAAGGUCACAGCUGGGAGCUGUACCGGUUCUGUGGGCGACGCCCCAAGGGAAGCACUAAUGAUUGGAGCAAAGGGUCCUCACAGAAGCAAUCAGGAAGCAGGAAGAGCACGAAGUCUCCCAAAAGGACACCCACUUUUGACUGUGUCAGAUGUAAUCAAGAUUGCAAAGCUCUCAGUCAGCUGUUAGAGGACUGGGAACUGAGAGGGAAAGGUGACUUACUAGCAGAGCAGCCAACACAGAGGAUGAGGACAUUGGGAGAAGAGAUCUGUGGAAAGAUGCCACCAAAAUCCCACCUUGGCAGCCUGCAGACUCAAGGGACCCAGCUCAGGACUGUGAAGACCAUCUUGGGCACUGGUAUAGGAUACUCCAUUUUUCUGAAGAGGUGACCACACUUUGCUGAGCUGAGCUAGGUCCCACAGUGCUGAACUAAAGGGUUCCUGAGAUGCUGUAGAGCAUUAAAAGUCACAGUUAUGAUCAAGUGUAACACUGCAGGCUGCAAUCCUGGCACUCUGGAACCUGAGGCAGGAAAACAGCAAGUUUGAGCCCACUUGAGACUAUAUAGUGAGAUGCUUCACUGAGGAUAAAAGUUGUUAAGUCUCAUCUUUCAUGGAAGACAGAUUUUUUCUAAAAUUUAUUUUCUCUGAUUUCCUGGUGGUGGGGAUGGCGUAGGGGUGUGGGUAUGGGUGUGGGUGUGGAGUGAGGUAGGGGUGUGGAAGUAAGUGGGUAGAGUAAUCUUCUGGUUCAUUGCACCUGAUAGCUGUGGCACUUAGCUUGUGCUAGAUACCUCACAGAGACCUGCGAGUUCAUUCAGGAUGUUGUCUUUGGGUCACCAUAGUUGCAGAAGAGCAAACAAAGGCUCUUGGGAAGGUUGGACAACUGUGGUUUCGGUUAACAUCCUUGCCAGAUUUAAUAAAACAUCUUCAUCAAGAGUCAUGGGUUCCAGAUAAUCCACACUCCACAGCCUCUGCUUGCUCAGAAUAAUCUACGCCCAAUUAACACAUCUGAUUUCCCUGCUGGCUUCUUUCUGCCAUAGACCGGAAGACCCUGGGUUCUUCAGGGCUCUGGGUGGUGCACCUCUCUUUUGCUCCUUCCUUCCUUCUUCUUUGUGACACGAGGUCUCACAUAUUCUAGGCUAGCCUUGAACUUUGUGUGUAACCAAGGUUGGCCUUAAACUCCUGAUCCCUCUUGUCUCAUCUCAGUGCUAGGUUUACAGCUAUGUGUGCCAUCAUACACAACUUUUCUAUUAUUUUUUAACUUCUUAUGUGUUUGAGUGUUUGCCUGUAUGUAUUUCUGUGCACCACGUGUAAGUCUUAUGCUUGUGGGGAAUAGAAAAGGGUGUCAUACCCCCAGGAACUGG
Molecule: long non-coding RNA, 1590 nt
Filed under: Cricetulus griseus (Chinese hamster)
Lineage: Eukaryota; Metazoa; Chordata; Mammalia; Rodentia; Cricetidae
Description: lncRNA (ENSCGRG00015041287.1)
Source: RNAcentral